RNAcentral lists this ribosomal RNA (497 nucleotides) under uncultured bacterium. Its description in RNAcentral is "partial 16S ribosomal RNA". It matches the Rfam family "Bacterial small subunit ribosomal RNA", at positions 28 to 507 of the family's 1533-position model. The record is from RNAcentral.
GAUGAACGCUGGCGGCGUGCCUAAUACAUGCAAGUCGAGCGAACAGACGAGGAGCUUGCUCCUCUGACGUUAGCGGCGGACGGGUGAGUAACACGUGGAUAACCUACCUAUAAGACUGGGAUAACUUCGAGAAACCGGAGCUAAUACCGGAUAAUAUAUUGAACCGCAUGGUUCAAUAGUGAGAGACGGUUUUGCUGUCACUUAUAGAUGGAUCCGCGCCGCAUUAGCUAGUUGGUAAGGUAACGGCUUACCAAGGCAACGAUGCGUAGCCGACCUGAGAGGGUGAUCGGCCACACUGGAACUGAGACACGGUCCAGACUCCUACGGGAGGCAGCAGUAGGGAAUCUUCCGCAAUGGGCGAAAGCCUGACGGAGCAACGCCGCGUGAGUGAUGAAGGUCUUCGGAUCGUAAAACUCUGUUAUUAGGGAAGAACAAAUGUGUAAGUAACUAUGCACGUCUUGACGGUACCUAAUCAGAAAGCCACGGCUAACUACGUG